RNAcentral lists this ribosomal RNA (468 nucleotides) under uncultured bacterium. RNAcentral's name for it is "partial 16S ribosomal RNA". It matches the Rfam family "Bacterial small subunit ribosomal RNA", at positions 28 to 507 of the family's 1533-position model. The record is from RNAcentral.
GACGAACGCUGGCGGCGUGCUUAACACAUGCAAGUCGAACGGAAAGGCCCUGCUUUGGUGGGGUGCUCGAGUGGCGAACGGGUGAGUAACACGUGAGUAACCUGCCCUUGACUUUGGGAUAACUUCAGGAAACUGGGGCUAAUACCGGAUAGGAGCUCCUGCUGCAUGGUGGGGGUUGGAAAGUUUCGGCGGUUGGGGAUGGACUCGCGGCUUAUCAGCUUGUUGGUGGGGUAGUGGCUUACCAAGGCUUUGACGGGUAGCCGGCCUGAGAGGGUGACCGGCCACAUUGGGACUGAGAUACGGCCCAGACUCCUACGGGAGGCAGCAGUGGGGAAUAUUGCACAAUGGGCGGAAGCCUGAUGCAGCCACGCCGCGUGCGGGAUGACGGCCUUCGGGUUGUAAACCGCUUUCGCCUGUGACGAAGCGUGAGUGACGGUAAUGGGUAAAGAAGCACCGGCUAACUACGUG